RNAcentral lists this ribosomal RNA (449 nucleotides) under uncultured bacterium. RNAcentral describes it as "partial 16S ribosomal RNA". It matches the Rfam family "Bacterial small subunit ribosomal RNA", at positions 329 to 794 of the family's 1533-position model. The record is from RNAcentral.
UUCCAGACUCCUACGGGAGGCAGCAGUGGGGGAUAUUGCACAAUGGGGGGAACCCUGAUGCAGCGACGCCGCGUGGGUGAAGGAGCGUUUCGGCGCGUAAAGCCCUAUCGGCAGGGAAGAAGGAGGACGGUACCUGACUAAGAAGCCCCGGCUAACUACGUGCCAGCAGCCGCGGUAAUACGUAGGGAGCAAGCGUUGUCCGGAAUUACUGGGCGUAAAGGGCGCGUAGGUGGGCGCUUAAGUCAGGUGUGAAAACUCCGGGCUCAACCUGGAGACUGCACUUGAAACUGGGUGUCUUGAGGGCAGGAGAGGAAAGUGGAAUUCCUAGUGUAGCGGUGAAAUGCGUAGAUAUUAGGAGGAACACCAGUGGCGAAGGCGGCUUGCUGGGCCAUUACUGCCGCUGAGGAACGAAAGCGUGGGGAGCAAAUAGGAUUAGAUACCCCGGUAAA